This 497-nucleotide ribosomal RNA is filed under the name uncultured bacterium. Its description in RNAcentral is "partial 16S ribosomal RNA". It matches the Rfam family "Bacterial small subunit ribosomal RNA", at positions 28 to 507 of the family's 1533-position model. The record is from RNAcentral.
GAUGAACGCUGGCGGCGUGCCUAAUACAUGCAAGUCGAGCGAACAGACGAGGAGCUUGCUCCUCUGACGUUAGCGGCGGACGGGUGAGUAACACGUGGAUAACCUACCUAUAAGACUGGGAUAACUUCGGGAAACCGGAGCUAAUACCGGAUAAUAUAUUGAACCGCAUGGUUCAAUAGUGAAAGACGGUUUUGCUGUCACUUAUAGAUGGAUCCGCGCCGCAUUAGCUAGUUGGUAAGGUAACGGCUUACCAAGGCAACGAUGCGUAGCCGACCUGAGAGGGUGAUCGGCCACACUGGAACGGAGACACGGUCCAGACUACUACGGGAGGCAGCAGUAGGGAAUCUUACGCAAUGGGCGAAAGCCUGACGGAGCAACGCCGCGUGAGUGAUGAAGGUCUUCGGAUCGUAAAACUCUGUUAUUAGGGAAGAACAAAUGUGUAAGUAACUAUGCACGUCUUGACGGUACCUAAUCAGAAAGCCACGGCUAACUACGUG